Molecule: ribosomal RNA, 725 nt
Filed under: uncultured archaeon
Lineage: Archaea
Description: bacterial SSU rRNA
Rfam family: Archaeal small subunit ribosomal RNA
Source: RNAcentral
GGGAUAAUACCCCAUAGACUAUGAAUGCUGGAAUGCUUUGUAGUUGAAAGGUCCGCCGCCAUAGGAUGGGUCUGCGGCCGAUUAGGUUGUUGUUGGGGUAACGGCCCAACAAGCCUGUAAUCGGUACGGGUUGUGGGAGCAAGAGCCCGGAGAUGGAUUCUGAGACACGAAUCCAGGCCCUACGGGGCGCAGCAGGCGCGAAAACUUUACAAUGCGGGAAACCGUGAUAAGGGAACUCCGAGUGCCCGUAAAAUCGGGCUGUCCAUCUGUUUAAAUAACAGGUGAAGAAAGGGCCGGGCAAGACCGGUGCCAGCCGCCGCGGUAAUACCGGCGGCUCGAGUGGUGGCCACUAUUACUGGGCUUAAAGCGUUCGUAGCUGGUCUGUUAAGUCUCUGGGGAAAUCUACUGGCUUAACCAAUAGGCGUCUCAGGGAUACUGGCAGACUAGGGACCGGGAGAGGUGAGAGGUACUCCAGGGGUAGGAGUGAAAUCCUGUAAUCCUUGGGGGACCACCUGUGGCGAAGGCGUCUCACCAGAACGGCUCCGACAGUGAGGGACGAAAGCUGGGGGAGCAAACCGGAUUAGAUACCCGGGUAGUCCCAGCUGUAAACGAUGCGCGUUAGGUGUAUCGGUGACCACGAGUCAUCGAGGUGCCGAAGAGAAAUCGUGAAACGUGCCGCCUGGGAAGUACGGUCGCAAGGCUGAAACUUAAAGGAAUUGGCGGGG